RNAcentral lists this long non-coding RNA (518 nucleotides) under Ananas comosus (pineapple). RNAcentral describes it as "long non-coding RNA (ACOM_LNC037902)". The record is from RNAcentral. Lineage: Eukaryota; Viridiplantae; Streptophyta; Magnoliopsida; Poales; Bromeliaceae.
CCCACAAAGUCUUAUUUGCAUCAGACUUCGAAAUGCUGUCUGGGGCCUCUUGUACCGGUACACGGGUUCUUGUACCGGUACAAGGCCGAGCUGUAGCCAAACCCGAGAGCUGUCUCUCGGUUUCGCAGGUCUUGUACCGGUACAAGGGGACCUUGUACCGGUACAGCGCCUGGACUGCACAAACCCGAGGGCUACUGAGCUCUUGUCGCUGCUUGUACCGGUACAACCAUCACCCUUGUACCGGUACAAGACGCCCAGAAUGCAGUUUUGACUUCGAUUCAGCUCUACUUCGCGCCGGUUGACGCCAAAACCAUUUUAACACUUCUCUAACUCAUUUUUCGCCCUUUCAAACUUGUCGGGCAGCAAGAAGAACUUGUCCAUCGCUUUCCUUCGACACUUUAACCAAUUUGGUUAAAGUUCGAAUAUCGUUUUCGGGUUUCGAUACGUUACAUAUAAAUAGGUGAAUAACGCCCAAAAGAGGGGUCUUUUUUCCGAGAACAGAAGACCACCUUUAUUUU